GGCCGCGGUAAUACGGAGGGUGCAAGCGUUGUCCGGAUUUAUUGGGUUUAAAGGGUGCGUAGGCGGCUAUUUAAGUCAGCGGUGAAAGACAUCGGCUCAACCGAUGCAGUGCCAUUGAUACUGGAUAGCUUGAGUGUUGGAGGGGUACAUGGAAUUGAUGGUGUAGCGGUGAAAUGCAUAGAUACCAUCAGGAACACCGAUAGCGAAGGCAUUGUACUGGCCAACAACUGACGCUGAUGCACGAAAGCAUGGGUAGCGAACA
This 262-nucleotide ribosomal RNA is filed under the name uncultured bacterium. Its description in RNAcentral is "partial 16S ribosomal RNA". It matches the Rfam family "Bacterial small subunit ribosomal RNA", at positions 513 to 774 of the family's 1533-position model. The record is from RNAcentral.